AAUAUCAAACUCAGGCAAAUAACAAUAUUGGACCAAAGGAGGACAAAAGCCCAAAACUAAAAGGGGAAAGGAGAGUUCCCAUGUGGGCCAAGGACUAUGACCUGGCUAAUGCAAGGAAGGGGUGCAGGAAUCUUAAAAGAACCUAGAAGAUGGACAAUUGUCCUUCAUAGUAGAAGGAAUCUUUUAUCAAUUUAUUUUAUUGCAAUUAGUUACCUCAAUAGAGGGAUCUGUUUACACCUGUCAUUGAUCAGAUAGGGUUAGAGAGUUUUUAUGAGCUAUAAAGCCAAACAGUUUGUAAGACGAUAAUAUAAUGAAUUAAUAUCAGAUUUCU
Molecule: long non-coding RNA, 331 nt
Filed under: Medicago truncatula (barrel medic)
Lineage: Eukaryota; Viridiplantae; Streptophyta; Magnoliopsida; Fabales; Fabaceae
Description: long non-coding RNA (MTRU_LNC001501)
Source: RNAcentral